RNAcentral lists this long non-coding RNA (1458 nucleotides) under Marmota monax (woodchuck). Lineage: Eukaryota; Metazoa; Chordata; Mammalia; Rodentia; Sciuridae. The record is from RNAcentral.
CUCUGGUCAGGUAGGGCAUGACUAGAGGAAGUAAAUCACUUGGGGGUAUGCCUUUGGGGAUUGUAUUAUCUCUGGAUCCAGACACUCAAACUCUCUCUGCUUCCUGGUUUCCAUGUCCUGAGCUGCUUACCUUCACCAUGAUAUCUAUGAAAUAUAGAUUUCAUAAUAUCGAAAAAUGUCGGUAAGACGUACAUUUACACAUCACAUCUAAAUUAGUUGAGAAAUAAAUCAUUAGACAUUGCUCAGAUACCUUAAGUAUACAGGUAGGUGUGGAGGCUUCAUCUUGCAAGGAAAAUUUCUUCUGGUCCACUGAGUAUAUACUCUUCAAUCUUACUUGGAUUUUUUCUGCUUUAACAAUAGCCCCUCAAGAAAGCAAUUACAAAUGCUUUGGAUCUAAAUUUAAAACAAAACAAAACAAAACAAAACUUGCCCAGCUUUUAAUUGAGUAUUAGGAUUUUUUUGCUAUUGAGUUGUAGGUGUUUUUAAAAAAAUGUUUCUGAAAUUAACACCUAUCACAUAUGUUUGCAAAUAUUUUCCAUUGCAUGAGGUGCCUUUCACUCUGACUGUGGGCUAAGACUUGAAUAGGCAUUUCUUUAAAGAAGGCAUAUAAAUAGUCAAUAGGUAUAUGAAAAGAUGUUCAACAUCACUAUCAUCAGGGAAAGGAAAAUCAAAAACAACAAGAUAUCUCCUCAUACCUAUCAGGAUAGCUGUGAUAUAAAACAAAACAGUAACAACAAAAAAAUAAAAUAAAAUAAAAGACAGAUGGUGGUGAGGAUGUGGAGAAAUUGGAAUCUUUGUGCACAGCUGGUGGGAGUACAAAAUGAUAUAGCUGCUAUGGAAAAGAACAUGGAAAAUUUUGACAAAAUUAAAACUAGAACCAGCAUAUGAUCCAGGAAUCUCACUCUAGUUGUGUGUAUACAAAGAAAUUUAUAUCAGGAUCUAGAAGAAAGAUCUACAUUCCCAUGUUAAUUGCAGUACUAUUCACAGUAUUCAAGGUGUGGAAAUAAUUAAACAUCCAUCAGCAUAUGAAUGGAUAAAGAAAAUGUGGCGCACACACAAUGGGAUAUUAUUCAGUUUUACAAAAGAAGGAAAUUAUACAGUAUAUGACAAAAUGGAAAAACUUUGAGGAUACUGUCUUAAGUGAAAUAAACCAGCCACAAAAACACUCAUGUUGUAUGACUCCUCAUAGGGGUCCCUAGAAAAGUCAAACUCAGAAACUCAGAGAGUGGAAUGUGGCUUCCAGGGACUGGGGAAAGAAGAAAUUGAAAGUUGUUAAUCAGUGGGCAUUUGGUUUUAGCAGAGCAAGAUGAAUAAGUUCUAGAGAUCUGCUGAACAACAUCGUACCUAUAUUUAAAAAUACUACAUUGUACACUUCACAUCUUGUUGAGAGUCAAUCAUAUAUGAUGUUCUUACCAUAAUAAAAUAAAAUUUUAAAACAGUGUUUGUCUUGCAAUGUAG